Molecule: ribosomal RNA, 497 nt
Filed under: uncultured bacterium
Lineage: Bacteria
Description: partial 16S ribosomal RNA
Rfam family: Bacterial small subunit ribosomal RNA
Source: RNAcentral
GACGAACGCUGGCGGCGUGCCUAAUACAUGCAAGUAGAACGCUGAAGAGAGGAGCUUACUCUUCUUGGAUGAGUUGCGAACGGGUGAGUAACGCGUAGGUAACCUGCCUUGUAGCGGGGGAUAACUAUUGGAAACGAUAGCUAAUACCGCAUAACAAUGGAUGACACAUGUCAUUUAUUUGAAAGGGGCAAUUGCUCCACUACAAGAUGGACCUGCGUUGUAUUAGCUAGUAGGUGAGGUAAUGGCUCACCUAGGCGACGAUACAUAGCCGACCUGAGAGGGUGAUCGGCCACACUGGGACUGGGACACGGCCCAGACUCCUGCGGGAGGCAGCAGUAGGGAAUCUUCGGCAAUGGGGGCAACCCUGACCGAGCAACGCCGCGUGAGUGAAGAAGGUUUUCGGAUCGUAAAGCUCUGUUGUAAGUCAAGAACGGGUGUGAGAGUGGAAAGUUCACACUGUGACGGUAGCUUACCAGAAAGGGACGGCUAACUACGUG